RNAcentral lists this ribosomal RNA (387 nucleotides) under uncultured bacterium. RNAcentral describes it as "bacterial SSU rRNA". It matches the Rfam family "Bacterial small subunit ribosomal RNA", at positions 29 to 408 of the family's 1533-position model. The record is from RNAcentral.
AAUGAACGCUGGCGGCGCGCCUAAUACAUGCAAGUCGAGCGAGAAGACGUAGCAAUACGUUUGUAAAGCGGCGAACGGGUGAGGAAUACAUGGGUAACCUACCCUCGAGUGGGGAAUAACUAGCCGAAAGGUUAGCUAAUACCGCGUACGCUUCUUGGACUUCGGUUCAGGGAGGAAAGCGAUACCGUGGGUAUCGCGCUCUUGGAUGGGCUCAUGUCCUAUCAGCUUGNGGUGAGGUAACGGCUCACCAAGGCUUCGACGGGUAGCUGGUCUGAGAGGACGAUCAGCCACACUGGCACUGCGACACGGGCCAGACUCCUACGGGAGGCAGCAGUAAGGAUAUUGCGCAAUGGGCGAAAGCCUGACGCAGCGACGCCGCGUGGGGGA